CUGGUUGAUCCUGCCAGUUCAAUAUGCUUGUUUCAAAGGCUAAGCCAUGCAGGCCCAAGUUCAAACAGAAAAAGUGAAACCGCGAACAGCUCAGUACAACAGGCUUAAUCAAAGAGAAAUGAAUAACUUACAUGGAUAACUGUGGUAAUUCUAGAGCUAAUACAUGCCUAAAAUGGGUCUCUUCGGAGUCCCUGCGUUUAUUAGCGUCGAAGCCAGCCCGACUUCGGUCGGUAACUUCGGUGAAACAGAAUAACCACGAAUGCUGACCCGUAAGACUCGUUCUUAGGGCGCAUCCCAUGAAAGCCUGCCUUAUCAACUUGAUGGUGAGCUCUUAGCUUACCAUGGUUACCACGGGUAACGGGGAAUUAGGGUUCGAUUCCGGAGAGGGAGCCUGAGAGACCGCUACCACAUCCAAGGAAGGCAGCAGGCGCGCAAAUUACACACUGUCCGAUGGACGAUGUAGUGACGGAAAAUAACAAUUCGGGGCCUUAACCGGCUCCGGAAUUGGAAUGAGAACAGUGUCGUGAUCUUAACGAGGAUCAAUCGGAGGGCAAGUCUGGU
RNAcentral lists this ribosomal RNA (561 nucleotides) under uncultured eukaryote. Its description in RNAcentral is "bacterial SSU rRNA". It matches the Rfam family "Eukaryotic small subunit ribosomal RNA", at positions 4 to 565 of the family's 1831-position model. The record is from RNAcentral.